Molecule: non-coding RNA, 24 nt
Filed under: Arabidopsis thaliana (thale cress)
Lineage: Eukaryota; Viridiplantae; Streptophyta; Magnoliopsida; Brassicales; Brassicaceae
Source: RNAcentral
ACUAACGUCUCCAUCUCCAGCUUC